This 82-nucleotide transfer RNA is filed under the name Lodderomyces elongisporus. RNAcentral's name for it is "tRNA-Ser". It matches the Rfam family "tRNA". Rfam says of the family: Transfer RNA (tRNA) molecules are approximately 80 nucleotides in length. RNAcentral also lists the same sequence under 1 other name. The record is from RNAcentral. Lineage: Eukaryota; Fungi; Ascomycota; Pichiomycetes; Serinales; Debaryomycetaceae.
GGAUGUAUGGCUGAGAGGUUUAAGGCAUGAUACUUGAAAUAUCAAGGCGAAUAGCCCACGUGUUCGAAUCGCGUUACAUCCG